RNAcentral lists this ribosomal RNA (736 nucleotides) under Ligilactobacillus acidipiscis. RNAcentral describes it as "bacterial SSU rRNA". It matches the Rfam family "Bacterial small subunit ribosomal RNA", at positions 44 to 745 of the family's 1533-position model. Lineage: Bacteria; Bacillati; Bacillota; Bacilli; Lactobacillales; Lactobacillaceae. The record is from RNAcentral.
GUGCCUAAUACAUGCAAGUCGAACGCAAUCUUUGACUAAUGAGUGCUUGCACUCAGCAGUCAAAGUGCGAGUGGCGAACGGGUGAGUAACACGUGGGCAAUCUGCCCAAAAGUGGGGGAUAACACUUGGAAACAGGUGCUAAUACCGCAUCAACCGGCUGACCGCAUGGUCGGCCGGGCAAAGACGGCGUCAGCUGUCGCUUUUGGAUGAGCCCGCGGCGUAUUAACUAGUUGGUAAGGUAACGGCUUACCAAGGUGAUGAUACGUAGCCGAACUGAGAGGUUGAUCGGCCACAUUGGGACUGAGACACGGCCCAAACUCCUACGGGAGGCAGCAGUAGGGAAUCUUCCACAAUGGACGCAAGUCUGAUGGAGCAACGCCGCGUGUAUGAAGAAGGUCUUCGGAUCGUAAAAUACUGUUGUCAGAGAAGAACACGUGAUAGAGUAACUGCUAUGGCGCUGACGGUAUCUGACCAGCAAGUCACGGCUAACUACGUGCCAGCAGCCGCGGUAAUACGUAGGUGGCAAGCGUUGUCCGGAUUUAUUGGGCGUAAAGGGAACGCAGGCGGUCUUUUAAGUCUGAUGUGAAAGCCUUCGGCUUAACCGGAGAAGUGCAUUGGAAACUGGAAGACUUGAGUGCAGAAGAGGAGAGUGGAACUCCAUGUGUAGCGGUGAAAUGACGUAGAUAUAUGGAAGAACACCAGUGGCGAAAAGCGGCUCUCUGGUCUGUAACUGACG